RNAcentral lists this ribosomal RNA (91 nucleotides) under Tricholoma matsutake. RNAcentral's name for it is "5.8S ribosomal RNA". It matches the Rfam family "5.8S ribosomal RNA", at positions 51 to 141 of the family's 154-position model. From Rfam's summary of the family: 5.8S ribosomal RNA (5.8S rRNA) is a component of the large subunit of the eukaryotic ribosome. It is transcribed by RNA polymerase I as part of the 45S precursor that also contains 18S and 28S rRNA. Lineage: Eukaryota; Fungi; Basidiomycota; Agaricomycetes; Agaricales; Tricholomataceae. The record is from RNAcentral.
AAAUGCGAUAAGUAAUGUGAAUUGCAGAAUUCAGUGAAUCAUCGAAUCUUUGAACGCACCUUGCGCUCCUUGGUAUUCCGAGGAGCAUGCC